RNAcentral lists this ribosomal RNA (387 nucleotides) under uncultured bacterium. RNAcentral's name for it is "bacterial SSU rRNA". It matches the Rfam family "Bacterial small subunit ribosomal RNA", at positions 531 to 916 of the family's 1533-position model. The record is from RNAcentral.
GGUGCGAGCGUUAAUCGGAAUUACUGGGCGUAAAGCGUGCGCAGGCGGUUUGACAAGUCUGAUGUGAAAGCCCCGGGCUCAACCUGGGAACUGCGUUGGAAACUGUCAGGCUAGAGUGUGUCAGAGGGAGGUAGAAUUCCACGUGUAGCAGUGAAAUGCGUAGAGAUGUGGAGGAAUACCGAUGGCGAAGGCAGCCUCCUGGGAUAACACUGACGCUCAUGCACGAAAGCGUGGGGAGCAAACAGGAUUAGAUACCCUGGUAGUCCACGCCCUAAACGAUGUCUACUAGUUGUUGGAGGAGUGAAAUCCUUUAGUAACGCAGCUAACGCGUGAAGUAGACCGCCUGGGGAGUACGGUCGCAAGAUUAAAACUCAAAGGAAUUGACGG